This is a long non-coding RNA of Helianthus annuus (common sunflower), 1087 nucleotides long. RefSeq lists it as uncharacterized. The record is from RefSeq and is a predicted model, not a curated record. NCBI's taxonomy places the organism in Eukaryota, Viridiplantae, Streptophyta, Magnoliopsida, Asterales, Asteraceae. The transcript is spliced from 6 exons.
UAUACAGAUGAACAGUAACAUUUUCUCUCUCCUCUACUCACAACCACUUUUUAUACCCUUUGUAAUAUAAAAACCUCUCCUCACAUAAUUUAAUGGUUAGGAUGUGAAUGCUCUAAAUGACUCAAACGUCACUCCAAUUAGUAAUACAAUCAAUUAAUCAGAAUGGACGAUUGGAUGACAGCAACCCUAAUUCUCCCGGUGAAGAAGACGAACCGUACAAAUGAUUUAUAUCCCGUUUCAUCAGAUUGUUAUAAAGGAGGGCUCCUCCUUCGUUCUCUCUCUCAAAUCCCCUAAUGGAGUUCUGGUUCAGUGGAGUUCAAGAGACGCCGGUGGGUGGUGCAUCCGGUGCUGGAUUUGUUUCUACGGCUAACAACGAACAGUAGCGGACCAUGACUCUAUUUUGGUGUUCUGCAAACGCUUCAUUAUUCAGUCGAUUCGUGUGAUCGUUGCCCCCUUCUUCUUCUUCUUCUUCGGUGAAAACUAUGCCAACGACUUUGAUGUUUGCUUGUUCUUUGUAACUUCUAAUGUGGUUUAAUAUAUCAGUAGAGUUGAUUUUGGUGACAGGCGCUGUUUUGUCAGCGGCAGCCUUUGAGUUUUGAUUACUCUCAAAACCGUUAAGCUUGCAUUGGCUUUACAGGACCAACUACAUUGAAUUGGAAGUUGUUUCAGAGUAGGCGUAUCCUAAUGCACUUUCAACCAUUCAAACUUCAAUUAAUGUUGCGGUAUCACGUAAUGGUCGCAAUGCAGCCUUGGUUAUUCGCUUUCAUUUUCAUGAUUGUUUCGUUCAGGUUGCAUCAACUACCCGAGUUUGAUCAGGGGAAAAGAAGCUGUCGCUGACGGUUGGUUGGGCACAAUGAACGUAGAAGGAAGCCACCUCUAUUUUUGUUAAAUGCAGACGUGGAUCGGAAAUGAUUGGUCGUGGCUUGUUCAUGAAGAAGGCUCAGCGAAGGGACGAACAAAUUUGUUGAGCUGGUUUUUUUGUAUAUAUAAAUUUACUACAAGAGUUGCAAAUAAAUAGUGUAAUGGAUACAUUCUGUAGUUCGCUUUAUAUCUACUUCAAAUGAUUGGUGGUGGCUUGUUCAGGAAA